Rhodamnia argentea is the source of this 427-nucleotide RNA transcript. RefSeq lists it as uncharacterized. The record is from RefSeq and is a predicted model, not a curated record. NCBI's taxonomy places the organism in Eukaryota, Viridiplantae, Streptophyta, Magnoliopsida, Myrtales, Myrtaceae. The transcript is spliced from 3 exons.
CAGCUUUUUGCAUUGCGGAAGAUACUUUCGGUGAUUAGACGACAACAUUUGCUGCUGUGCACCCUACUAAUUUGCAAUUCUGCUGCUAUGGAGUUGCAGGCACUGCCUUUCUUGAUAGUUUGGUAACAGCUUGAGGAGUUAUUCUUAUUUUGGUGACCUUGAUAGUUUGGCGAGAUCAAGUCCAACUAACUUCUUUGGACCAGAGGAAAGAUCAGGAAACCAAGGAGAAUAUUAAGGCCAUUCAAACCAUCUUAGUUCAUCAGGAAGACAGAUGAACCUUGGAAAGGGUUGUGCACAUUAAUCAUGAUGAGCACCCUCAAUCUUCUAAUGUUUGUGAAAGGAUUACACCUAUGCAUAUCUCUUCUGGUUUGAGUAAAUCUAAAACUAUGGCUUUUACUGCCGUUGUUCCCUGUAUUUAUUGAAUUUG